Molecule: non-coding RNA, 616 nt
Organism: Cucurbita pepo subsp. pepo (vegetable marrow)
Lineage: Eukaryota; Viridiplantae; Streptophyta; Magnoliopsida; Cucurbitales; Cucurbitaceae
Source: RefSeq, a predicted model, not a curated record
CGAUAUUGGGUCUUGCCCCGUUGUCGAGUUGUCAAAUCGAGAUUUAUCUCUUGCUAUUAGCUACUGCAACCAACACACUCUAUCUAGAGAGUCGUUCGUGAUUUCCUUUUCGAAUAGGCGGCUAAGAGGUCUUGUUCGAGUGGGGGGUUAUUUGUGGGUAGAAAGAAGGCAGGGUAGUCUAGUCUAGUCUCGUUAGUAUACGUCUUAUCUAUUCUCCUCUCGAUAUCAGGUCUUGCCUCGUUGUCGAGUUGUCAAAUCGAGACUUAUCUCUUGCUAUUAGCUACUACAACCAACACACUCUAUCUAGUGAUUUCCUUCUCGAACAGGUGGCUAAGAGAUCUUGUUCGAGUGUGGGGGGUGUUGUCCGUGGGUAGAAGAAGGCAAGGUGGCUAAGAGGUCUUGCUCGAGUGUUGAAAGAACGAAACUCCUACUCUUUGCCGGGUAUAUGAUCAGCAAGUCCGACGAACCCGACCGCAAAGCCAUCAACUCUUCUGGGUUAGCUUUUUCUUUUUCUUUUCCACUCAGUGCAGGUGAUAGAAAAAGGAAGGAGGUCAGCUUAUUCUCCUUUGUGCAAUGGAAUCUACUUUUUUUUAUAUUUUUAUUCCAUUCUUUGAAA